This 1586-nucleotide long non-coding RNA is filed under the name Bemisia tabaci. RNAcentral describes it as "lncRNA ENSSSA1UGG010029". The record is from RNAcentral. Lineage: Eukaryota; Metazoa; Arthropoda; Insecta; Hemiptera; Aleyrodidae.
UUUUUGAGUGUCGCUGAAAUCACUGAUUGUGUUACAGCAAAGAUGAUUGCCAAGGUAGAGUUAUCAGUUGAAUUGAAUGUUUGAGUGCCUUUUCCAAUUUUUUCAAGUCUGAUUAUUUUCUGUUUUCAAAUUUUAUUAGGUAUGACUCUUUUAUCGUUACGAUUACUCAAUUUUAAAUACCUUUUGUUCUAUUUGUUGGUCGCAACGUAUGAUGCUCACUAAGAAAGUCACUGUAACAAUGAUCAAAAUUUAUAGGAAAAGAAUUUCAUAAACAGUGACAAUAGAAGUUUGAACAUUUUUAAAGAGAAGGUUAAAUCUCUUGACUCUUUAAUCUGGGGAAAAAGUGAAAAUCUGGGAAUUACGUACAGCUGAGUAAAUAAAAUUGUAAGCAGCAUUUUGAACUUACGAAGGCAAAGGAAUUGAGUCUUGUAGUUUGAUGCAAAUUUUACAAUUUAUAAAUGAUCAACAUUGCAUGAUACAAGUUCUGCUGGAAAUCAUUAUCCUUUUUUUUGCAUUUUAUUAUUUUUUUUUCAAAAAACGUUUGUUAUUUUCAGUAAAAAAUAAUAGUUAACAGGCUGUACUCAUGAAUAGUAUUCUAUGCUUCGAAUCAAGAGGAAAUUUAUUCUAAAGACCAGAAAUAGGCAGUUUCCAAUCAUUCAAAAUCAUCAAAAUAUAAUUUCAUAAUUUUUGUCUCUUAUCUACUUUCAUAGAAAUAGUUUUCUGCUUUGCUAAGGGAGAACGCUGUAUGAGCCUUCAGACGUUGCCAAAUUUCCUUUGAAAAAAAAAUCAGGGAAACCCGAAUAUUUUUAAUGCAAUAUUCCAAAGAAUUUUAAUUGCAAUCAGAUUUAAAUUAUCUGAAUAUUUUCAAGAGAAAAUAUUUAUAUUUCUCCGUUAAAAUGAACAUUUUUACUGGAGAAAAUUUGGCAAUUUUUGAAUGUUUAUACAGCGUUUUCUCUUAGGAGGAUAGUUUUGGCCUAUGAUUAAUUACUUUGAGUGUUCCCAUUGUGUAAAAUUGUACAUAUCUAUAUUUAGAUUGAAUUUUUCAAAUUCACUCUUACCUGUGUAUACUUUUCAACAUCAAAUUUAAUUACUAAUGUAGGUGGGUAUCUACGUGUUUAAUCCCAAUACGUAGAUGCCUUGCUGUGUAUUAUAGUAUUUUUAAAAUGUUUAUUUUGAUUAAAAUAAAGAAAGAAGUCAGAGCUUGUGAAAUGGCAAAAAACUAAAGCAUACCUGUUUGUUUCAUUUUAUAUUGUGCCUUUUUGUUUGGCCAGUUUAUUUGAAGUUUUAUCCAUGUUUGAAUCAAAUGUUUUACAUAAAUAUUAAAAAGUGAGAAAAAAAAUGUGAACAAAUUCCAAAUUAAUUUGUUUUUUGCAGCCAAAAUGGCUUCAUUAAGUUAUAAACUAUAUUUUGAAAACUUAAACGUAUUUCCUUCUUUAUUUCUCCUUAAGUCACCUCACAGUAAAUAAUACAUCAUCAAAACUACCACCAUGAUGGGUAUUUAUCAUGAUGCAGUUUUUGCAAGAAAAACCGAAACACUUACACUCACACUAUUCCAGAGUAGUUGAUAUAUACAGUUUUACAAAAUU